CAGCACCUCAAGUGGUCAGGAUGAUUAUUGGGCCUAAAGCAUCCGUAGCCUGUUCUAUAAGUUUCCGGUUAAAUCCAUUAGCUCAACUAAUGGGCUGCCGAAAAUACUGUGGAACUAGGGAGUGGGAGAGGUAGACGGUACUCGGUAGGAAGGGGUAAAAUCCUUUGAUCUAUUGAUGACCACCUGUGGCGAAGGCGGUCUACCAGAACACGUCCGACGGUGAGGGAUGAAAGCUGGGGGAGCAAACCGGAUUAGAUACCCGAGUAGUCC
Molecule: ribosomal RNA, 270 nt
Filed under: uncultured archaeon
Lineage: Archaea
Description: partial 16S ribosomal RNA
Rfam family: Archaeal small subunit ribosomal RNA
Source: RNAcentral